This 1179-nucleotide long non-coding RNA is filed under the name Zonotrichia albicollis (white-throated sparrow). RNAcentral describes it as "lncRNA (ENSZALG00000006289.1)". The record is from RNAcentral. Lineage: Eukaryota; Metazoa; Chordata; Aves; Passeriformes; Passerellidae.
UACCUUCUGCAUCCAAAGUGGUGAGAUCAGGUGCCAUCUAGUGUAAACCCUUCCUCUUAAUGCACAUCUGACUCCAUCCACUUCUUUCUGUUAUUUCUUCCUUUCCCUGCUUUCAUAAGCAAGCUCUGAAACCCUCAGCUGCUGGAACAAAAGCAAUUCAGCCUUUUCCCAGGAGAUUCUGCAGCAAAAAGCUCACCAAGUCCUCCUGGUGCUGUCUGCAGAGCUAAAGGGAAGUUGACUCAACAACCAUCGACUCCUCAUGCUGCCAAGGUGUUUUGUGUUAACUGGAGUGUGCCUGCUCAUGCAGGGAUGCACCUCCUCGUGAAAAGGGUUGUAAUAAGGGAGCCCAGAGCUCUGCAUCCCUCUCCAGCCUGGCAGGGAUGGGUUUGCAGCCUGGAGGAGAUGAGAGCAAAGCUUUGGAUGAAGAGUGUGACCCUGCAGCCCCAUUAUCCUCUGACUUUCCUUCAAAUCCAACUUCUGCUGGUUCUAUCUGGAGCUGAGAUGGAGCUGAGCCUGCUCCCUGCACUGUGGGGAACUUGUGAGCCUGCACUGUGCUGGAUUCAGCUUUGCUGCAGGAGGAAUGAACGGUGCUGGAAGCCAAGGCACCCAGGAAUUCUGCUGGAAAACCCUCUGGAUGCUUCUCCCUCUGCACUGGGAGCACUCAGCUGCAGCACUCAGCUGAUUCCUGCACAUGUCCAAGCUGUGCAAAGCAGCCUGGCCAGGGACAGAGGAUUGGGAGCCAAUCUGCUAAACAGGGAUUUAGCCAAGAGGCAGCCCCGAGUGCCAGCCCUCUCCUAAUACUCUCUUAAGCAGCACAGGCAGCUGCUGCUUCCUCCCUGGCCCUCCUCACAGUUCACCUCAGUCCUCCAACUGCAGCAAGGCAUUUCCAAGCAGAAUUAGGUUUUGUUGGCUUCUUGCUACAGUGCCUUUUAAUUAGGAGCACAGCUGCUCUGGAAACACGGAGCUCACUUUUCAAAGAGUGCCUCUGGAAAGUGAUUACAGGGGAUUAAAGCGGAAAGGUUAGGCAAUUUAUUCAGGUGGCACUUAGCAAACGCAUCGGAUUAUUUGGUGCUGCAAGGAUGAUUUAAAAACUCACAAGAAUAACAUCUUUAGGGCUCCUGCUGGCCUUGAGGGACUCUGCUGGCAAGGCAGGUGGUGGAGGUGAAAGCUGGGAGUGAG